UACGUAGGGGGCAAGCGUUGUCCGGAAUCAUUGGGCGUAAAGAGCGUGUAGGCGGCUCGGUAAGUCCGCUCUGAAAGCCCGGGGCUCAACCCCGGGAGGCGGGCGGAUACUGUCGAGCUAGAGUCCGGAAGAGGCGAGUGGAAUUCCUGGUGUAGCGGUGAAAUGCGCAGAUAUCAGGAGGAACACCGGUGGCGAAGGCGGUUCUCUGGGAAUUACCUGACGCUGAGGAGCGAAAGCAUGGGGAGCGAACAGG
RNAcentral lists this ribosomal RNA (253 nucleotides) under uncultured bacterium. RNAcentral's name for it is "partial 16S ribosomal RNA". It matches the Rfam family "Bacterial small subunit ribosomal RNA", at positions 524 to 776 of the family's 1533-position model. The record is from RNAcentral.